UACGAAGGGGGCUAGCGUUGCCCGGAAUCACUGGGCGUAAAGCGCACGUAGGCGGAUUGCUAAGUCAGGGGUGAAAUCCUGGAGCUCAACUCCAGAACUGCCUUUGAUACUGGCGAUCUCGAGUCCGGGAGAGGUGAGUGGAACUGCGAGUGUAGAGGUGAAAUUCGUAGAUAUUCGCAAGAACACCAGUGGCGAAGGCGGCUCACUGGCCCGGUACUGACGCUGAGGUGCGAAAGCGUGGGGAGCAAACAGG
RNAcentral lists this ribosomal RNA (253 nucleotides) under uncultured bacterium. RNAcentral's name for it is "partial 16S ribosomal RNA". It matches the Rfam family "Bacterial small subunit ribosomal RNA", at positions 524 to 776 of the family's 1533-position model. The record is from RNAcentral.